UAGGGAAUCUUCGGCAAUGGACGAAAGUCUGACCGAGCAACGCCGCGUGAGUGAAGAAGGUUUUCGGAUCGUAAAACUCUGUUGUUAGAGAAGAACAAGGACGUUAGUAACUGAACGUCCCCUGACGGUAUCUAACCAGAAAGCCACGGCUAACUACGUGCCAGCAGCCGCGGUAAUACGUAGGUGGCAAGCGUUGUCCGGACUUAUUGGGCGUAAAGCGAGCGCAGGCGGUUUCUUAAGUCUGAUGUGAAAGCCCCCGGCUCAACCGGGGAGGGUCAGUGGAAACUGGGAGACUUGAGUGCAGAAGAGGAGAGUGGAAGUCCAUGUGUAGCGGUGAAAUGCGUAGAUAUAUGGAGGAACACCAGUGGCGAAGGCGGCUCUCUGGUCUGUAACUGACGCUGAGGCUCGAAAGAGUGGGGAGCAAACAGG
RNAcentral lists this ribosomal RNA (429 nucleotides) under Chloroflexota bacterium. RNAcentral's name for it is "Chloroflexi bacterium partial 16S ribosomal RNA". It matches the Rfam family "Bacterial small subunit ribosomal RNA", at positions 355 to 776 of the family's 1533-position model. Lineage: Bacteria; Bacillati; Chloroflexota. The record is from RNAcentral.